RNAcentral lists this transfer RNA (65 nucleotides) under Neoseiulus californicus. RNAcentral describes it as "tRNA-Asn". Lineage: Eukaryota; Metazoa; Arthropoda; Arachnida; Mesostigmata; Phytoseiidae. The record is from RNAcentral.
UUAAUAGAAGCUAAAAUAGAAGCUGUUCAUUGUUAAUGAAAAAAUUGGCUUAACGCCCUAUUAAU